AUGAAGCACCAAGCACCCAAAUUACCCUAGUUACAAUCUCCAAAUCAAUCCAGCCCUAACUCACUCUCAGUUGAAAAGAUUCGCGACUCACGCUUAGUCAGUUGGAGAUUUGGAGAACUUACCUCAGUAAAGGGAGAGGCGACUGCGAACCUCCUUCGACGACCUACAACUACAAAUCGGCGGCGACUUGCAAUGGGAGGACGACGGGUGGAGAAAUCAUCCGACUUGAGAGGGUCUUCUUCCUUGCCUCCCAAGUACUUACAGAGCUUGGUUGUCGUCGGUGGACCUCUAUACUCACCUGGAGCAAUGCCAGUCGACCACUUGAGAGAUUCUCGUCCAGAUCCUACAACGCAGCUAUCAUGGUUUCCCGUUUUAGUUUCACACUUCCCAAUUCCCUCUUUUCUCAUUUUUGUUUCGUUUCUCACCCCCGAAGAACCCUAAUCGGUGCCAACCACACCUCUGCUCGUUUUUGCUCUCGCUAGGUUUUCUUUCUUUUUUCCUUUUUCCAUAUCUUGAUUAAUUUUUUCUGCUCUCGCUAGGUUUCUAGUUUUCCCAGAUUUUUCUUUCCCAUUCUUAUUUUGGUUUUCUGAAGAGAAAGAAAGAAGGAAAGUCUUUGGCGGUGAUGGUGCCUACGAUGGUGAUAUUCAGCCCAUUGGAAAAAAUGAAUUCUUUUGUUUGGUGUUGCUAUUCUCCUUCGA
This is a long non-coding RNA of Macadamia integrifolia, 698 nucleotides long. RefSeq lists it as uncharacterized. The transcript has 2 exons. The record is from RefSeq and is a predicted model, not a curated record. Lineage: Eukaryota; Viridiplantae; Streptophyta; Magnoliopsida; Proteales; Proteaceae.